RNAcentral lists this long non-coding RNA (222 nucleotides) under Nicotiana benthamiana. RNAcentral's name for it is "long non-coding RNA (NBEN_LNC040157)". Lineage: Eukaryota; Viridiplantae; Streptophyta; Magnoliopsida; Solanales; Solanaceae. The record is from RNAcentral.
GCUUGCGUGUUUUUCAGCUGUUGUUCUAAUCUUUUCAUUCCUUGGGCUAUUUCUUCCUGUACUCUCGUUCGUGCAUGAUUCUCAGUGUUUGCAGGAAGAUUGAAUGAGUACGAGCGGUGCUCUUGCUGUAUAGCAAAUUGUGACUCAUGACGAGGUUCUCCCUGACCGUUGGCCCAUGCUUGAUGUAUUUCAGUCAUUUUCUGUUUCGGUGUUAUACUUUCC